Molecule: ribosomal RNA, 253 nt
Filed under: uncultured bacterium
Lineage: Bacteria
Description: partial 16S ribosomal RNA
Rfam family: Bacterial small subunit ribosomal RNA
Source: RNAcentral
UACGGAGGGGGCUAGCGUUGUUCGGAAUUACUGGGCGUAAAGCGCGCGUAGGCGGACCUGCAAGUCGGGGGUGAAAGCCCGAGGCUCAACCUCGGAACUGCCUUCGAUACUGCGGGUCUCGAGUCCGGGAGAGGUGAGUGGAAUUCCUAGUGUAGAGGUGAAAUGCGUAGAGAUCCGGAGGAAUACCAGUGGCGCAAGCGGCGCUCUGGGUCGAGCCUGACACUGAGACGCGAAGGCAUGGGGAGCGAACGGG